RNAcentral lists this ribosomal RNA (430 nucleotides) under Longitarsus rutilus. Its description in RNAcentral is "partial 16S large subunit ribosomal RNA". Lineage: Eukaryota; Metazoa; Arthropoda; Insecta; Coleoptera; Chrysomelidae. The record is from RNAcentral.
GUCCUUUUGGUAUUAAUUUAAGGUUUAACCUGCCCAAUGAAAAUUUAAAUGGCCGCGGUAUUUUAACUGUGCUAAGGUAGCAUAAUCAUUAGUUUUUUAAUUAAAAGCUGGAAUGAAGGGUUGGAUGAGAAAUUAACUGUCUCUAAUUAAUUUUAUUAGAAUUUUAUUUUUAAGUUAAAAAGCUUAAAUUUUUUUAAAAGACGAGAAGACCCUAUAGAGUUUUAUAUAUUUAAUUUAUAAAUAUUUAGAAUUUAUUUUUUAUAAUUAGUUUAUAUUUAAUUGGGGUGAUUAAAAAAUUUAAUAAACUUUUUUUAUAAAUUUAUAUUAAUUAAUAAAUUAAUGAUCCAGAUAUUUUGAUUAUAAGAUAAAUUACCUUAGGGAUAACAGCGUAAUUUUAUUAAAGAGUUCUAAUCGAAAAUAAAGUUUGCGA